Molecule: ribosomal RNA, 492 nt
Filed under: uncultured bacterium
Lineage: Bacteria
Description: partial 16S ribosomal RNA
Rfam family: Bacterial small subunit ribosomal RNA
Source: RNAcentral
AGUGAACGCUGGCGGUAGGCCUAACACAUGCAAGUCGAACGGCAGCACAGUAAGAUCUUGCUCUUACGGGUGGCGAGUGGCGGACGGGUGAGGAAUACAUCGGAAUCUACUUUUUCGUGGGGGAUAACGUAGGGAAACUUACGCUAAUACCGCAUACGACCUACGGGUGAAAGCAGGGGAUCUUCGUACCUUGCGCGAUUGAAUGAGCCGAUGUCGGAUUAGCUAGUUGGCGGGGUAAAGGCCCACCAAGGCGACGAUCCGUAGCUGGUCUGAGAGGAUGAUCAGCCGCACUGGAACUGAGCCACGGUCCAGACUCCUCCGGGAGGCACCAGUGGGGAAUAUUGGACAAUGGGCGCAAGCCUGAUCCAGCCAUACCGCGUGGGUGAAGAAGGCCUUCGGGUUGUAAAGCCCUUUUGUUGGGAAAGAAAAGCAGCAGGUUAAUAACCCGCUGUUCUGACGGUACCCAAAGAAUAAGCACCGGCUAACUUCGUG